UUCAAUUGCGUUGAGGUGCGACGGAAUACGCAAACACUAGGAAUUCCAACAACGACAAGGCUGAAGUGGACGGUAUCCCAAACAGGCAGUCAUCACGGUAUAGGUAAAACAGAGACUUCAUCACUGCGACAUUGUUUGAUGCGGAAUCCCCAACAGGCAUCAUCACGGUAUAGGUAAACUAAGACCUCAUUACCGCGACAUUGGUUGAUUUGAACGCUGUACCCAACAGGCAGUCUUUGAAGAAUACGCAAUCAAACAGAAUUCACUAAUGCAACACAA
Long non-coding RNA from Saccostrea cuccullata (small rock oyster), 279 nucleotides. RefSeq lists it as uncharacterized. The record is from RefSeq and is a predicted model, not a curated record. Lineage: Eukaryota; Metazoa; Mollusca; Bivalvia; Ostreida; Ostreidae. The transcript has 2 exons.